Molecule: long non-coding RNA, 415 nt
Filed under: Sinocyclocheilus grahami
Lineage: Eukaryota; Metazoa; Chordata; Actinopteri; Cypriniformes; Cyprinidae
Description: lncRNA (ENSSGRG00000016311.1)
Source: RNAcentral
AUGUCUGUUUCAACCUCCGCAGAUGUAGCAGGUCAUUCUACUUGUGGUCAUUGGGAUCUAUCACAUCUACUCCUUCAACUUUCAGCCUACACUAUGGAUCAGAAGCUCCUCCAUUUGACCCAGCUGAGUGGUCAUCUAUCCUGUCUUAGUCAGAAAGGACUGAUCUGGAUCUUGUCUUCAGUCAUCUGCUACCUGCCCUCUGUGUGUUCGUUCCUGCAUCUGCAAGAUAGACAUUCAGUUACUGUUCAGCUAAGUCAUAGCAAGCUCCAUUGAGCUGCCAUACCUAAUGUUGCUUCAUUCUCAUUUCUGUUCGGUGUCAGCAGUUCAAUAAACCGGUUUAUUUCAUUAGCUGUCUGUUGUUGUCUUUUUUGACAGCGAGGCCGACACGCUAUCAGUUUAAAUGUAGAUUAAAGAC